Long non-coding RNA from Pteronotus mesoamericanus, 342 nucleotides. RefSeq lists it as uncharacterized. The transcript has 6 exons. The record is from RefSeq and is a predicted model, not a curated record. Lineage: Eukaryota; Metazoa; Chordata; Mammalia; Chiroptera; Mormoopidae.
CUCAUCCCCGGCAGCGUGGGCCGCCUCCCGGUGCGCAGGGCAGCCCCUCCUGCAGCCUUGCCGAGCGUGGCGGGCGCCGAGCCCUGGGGGUGUGUGGUGCUCCCUUUUGGCCGCCGAGCGACCAUGAGCUGCAGCGAGGUGGCCCCGGAGAGCAGUGAUGAUCCCAUUGCCUCUUCAGGAGAAAAAGAUUGCCCCAGCUCCAACCUAGAUACUUCAAAGGACUCUGAAUCAGGAGAGGACAGCAGUUCCGAGAGCACCUCUGAAAGUGACUCUGAUAAUGAGGAGCCAGAAACAGAAAAAACAAAUGAGGAACUGGGAGAGUCUUCCGCCGAGGGCCCUUCC